GGCAGCAUGGCUGAGUGGUCUAAAGCGCUAGACUUGAAAUCUAGUACCUUCGGGUGCGCAGGUUCGAACCCUGCUGCUGUCG
This 82-nucleotide transfer RNA is filed under the name Colletotrichum noveboracense. RNAcentral describes it as "tRNA-Ser". It matches the Rfam family "tRNA". From Rfam's summary of the family: Transfer RNA (tRNA) molecules are approximately 80 nucleotides in length. Their secondary structure includes four short double-helical elements and three loops (D, anti-codon, and T loops). Further hydrogen bonds mediate the characteristic L-shaped molecular structure. tRNAs have two regions of fundamental functional importance: the anti-codon, which is responsible for specific mRNA codon recognition, and the 3' end, to which the tRNAs corresponding amino acid is attached (by aminoacyl-tRNA synthetases). tRNAs cope with the degeneracy of the genetic code in two manners: having more than one tRNA (with a specific anti-codon) for a particular amino acid; and 'wobble' base-pairing, i.e. permitting non-standard base-pairing at the 3rd anti-codon position. Lineage: Eukaryota; Fungi; Ascomycota; Sordariomycetes; Glomerellales; Glomerellaceae. The record is from RNAcentral.